CGGCCGCGCUGCCCCCACCGCCGCCCCUCGGGCCGCUCCACCGCGCUCCCCCCGCCCGCCCCGCGCGGACCCCUCAGCCCCUCGGGCGGAGCAGAGCCGCGCGGCGCUCACCUGGCGUUGGUGCAGUCGUUGUACAAAGUUUCGAAGUCCUUCCUGGUGAUGAGCUUGCAGCGGUUGACGCCGGGCUGGAUGGCCCCCAGCCCGCGCAGGAUGCGGACCUGCUCCACCGUGCAGACCACGGGCGAUAUAUCCAGCCGCUUCAGCUUGGUGUACACCGUGUGCAGCCCUCCCACAAGGUCGACCAUCUUACACUCGUU
RNAcentral lists this long non-coding RNA (317 nucleotides) under Gallus gallus (chicken). Its description in RNAcentral is "long non-coding RNA NONGGAT006673". Lineage: Eukaryota; Metazoa; Chordata; Aves; Galliformes; Phasianidae. The record is from RNAcentral.